This is a ribosomal RNA of Sinocyclocheilus anshuiensis, 117 nucleotides long. NCBI's taxonomy places the organism in Eukaryota, Metazoa, Chordata, Actinopteri, Cypriniformes, Cyprinidae. The record is from Ensembl.
UAAUGCAGCCAUAUCACCCUGCAGCCCAAGACAUGUUGCCCACUGAAGCUAAGCAGGGUUGAGCCUAGUCAAUACCUGGAUGUGAGACCUCCUGGGAAAACUAGGUUGCUGCUGGAA